Molecule: unclassified non-coding RNA, 354 nt
Filed under: soil metagenome
Description: partial contains 5.8S ribosomal RNA, internal transcribed spacer 2, and large subunit ribosomal RNA
Rfam family: 5.8S ribosomal RNA (bases 1-120)
Source: RNAcentral
GAUGAAGAACUUAGCGAAAUGCGAUAAGUAAUGUGAAUUGCAGAAUUCAGUGAAUCAUCGAAUCUUUGAACGCACAUUGCGCCCGCCAGUAUUCUGGCGGGCAUGCCUGUCCGAGCGUCAUUUCAACCCUCGAACCCCUCCGGGGGGUCGGCGUUGGGGAUCGGCCCUCCCUUAGCGGGUGGCCGUCUCCGAAAUACAGUGGCGGUCUCGCCGCAGCCUCUCCUGCGCAGUAGUUUGCACACUCGCAUCGGGAGCGCGGCGCGUCCACAGCCGUUAAACACCCAACUUCUGAAAUGUUGACCUCGGAUCAGGUAGGAAUACCCGCUGAACUUAAGCAUAUCAAUAAGCGGAGGA